This 305-nucleotide ribosomal RNA is filed under the name uncultured bacterium. Its description in RNAcentral is "bacterial SSU rRNA". It matches the Rfam family "Bacterial small subunit ribosomal RNA", at positions 335 to 658 of the family's 1533-position model. The record is from RNAcentral.
GUCCUACGGGAGGCAGCAGUGGGGAAUAUUGCACAAUGGGGGAAACCCUGAUGCAGCGACGCCGCGUGAGUGAAGAAGUAAUUCGUUAUGUAAAGCUCCAUCAGCAGGGAAGAAAAUGACGGUACCUGAGUAAGAAGCCCCGGCUAACUACGUGCCAGCAGCCGCGGUAAUACGUAGGGGGCAAGCGUUAUCCGGAAUUACUGGGUGUAAAGGGAGCGUAGACGGUAAUGCAAGUCUGGAGUGAAAGGCGGGGGCCCACCCCCCGGACUGCUCUGGAAACUGUGUAACUGGAGUGCAGGAGAGGC